CGGACAGUGGCUGAGGGGUGCUGGUGGGUAUUGCCUUCGUGAUGACGCUGCGGCCAGCGCAACAUCAGAGACCCUGCUUCACCAAGACUUCAAAGGGAAAUCAGAUGCUGCACCUCCUGCUACCAAGUUUAACACAUGCCAGAGAAGUAACUCCAGCCUGUUGUUUACAGCCAGGAAGAGGAGGGCAUGAAGGGUGGAAGAAGUGUUUGCUGAGGAACCCAGCUGACUGUGAAGCAUGCUAUGGGGUGUAAGGGAGCAGUGGGUGAGGCUGGUCUUCAUCUGAGGUCAGCUGCUAGCACUAGGCUUGAAUAUUAACACAAAAAGGCCAACACAAAAAUUACCUGUGGAAUAUUUUGCAUAUGGAAAUGAACUUCACAGAGUUUAUCUGAAUGAAACCUAACAAAAUCUUGCAUGUACGUAAUUGCAACAUUAAAAGUUUCCAUUGUUGGCCCUCACCAGCAGCCAGAGAUAAUUGCAGUUUCCCUGUUUAGUCAUUGUAAAAAUGCCAUCUAUCAGUACUCUCCUUUACCCACUGCUUUGCAUGUGAGAAAAAAUUCAGACCAAAUUCUCCUUGACUGAUGUGUUUCUACACCGUGCUCUAUUGCAAUGAACCAAGCGGUCUUCCCGGAGGUGGAGCCUGUGCUAGGUGACAGACCACUAAAGUUGCCCCAGAUUAUGCUCUGUGUACAGGAGUAGGGGGAAAGCUGUGUUACAGACGGGAGAUCAGGUCUGCUUCAGGGCAGGAACUUGUGACCGGGAGCGAGGAUCACCCUCAGCAGAGGUGCAGGGGUCUGGUGUGGUGCCGUGUGUCACGGGCGAGGCAGGGUAAAUAACAGCCUCUGGUAGAUCUGGAUAUGGGGUUUUUUAAAAAACAAAGAGAUGAGAGCUUUUAUCUUACUUGGUUAUCCGCACUUCCAGGAUCUUUCCUCCAGCCGGGAUCUUCACCUUCUUUUCUCCCAGCCUCCUCCUCCUUGCUCGGAUCAUGUCUUCUUCCCAGCAACUCUCUUCAUCAGCCCCAGCUCUUCUUUCUGGACCCCUGGAGUUCCCAAUCUGAAUUGUCUAUGUGCAGGAGCACAGUGUGACAUCAGCCUCCUAAUUACUUGUCCUGUCUCAUGUCUCCUCAUUAACUGGAGGAGUUGGGAUGUGCCACUUUCCUUUAGUCCAGGUGUUACCAAAAGUUAUAACCUGCUUGUACUAGUUGCAGCUAGCAACUUCCAGGUUUCUGCUUGAGAGUUCGAAAGUUCAAUUUUGGUCACUGGCUCCUCCACACAUACACCCAAUUAUCUGCUGCUUGCUAGGAUUUUCAAUUUAAGCUGUCUUCUUCCCGAAACACCAUGCUGUCAGCUCUUCACUGCUCACCACCACGCAGAGCCUUGCUGACACUCAGCUCCUGCACCAGCUGCUCCUCAAGGUGCUUGGUUUUGCUGUGCAUGUGGAAAGACUCCGCGGACCUCUGCCAGCACCACCUAGCAGCACAAAAUUGUGCUCCAGCACCUUCUAGACCCCUCUCCGGGCUCCCCUGUCUCACUGCAGGGUGCCCUUCUGUCAAAUGCUGCCUGCUCUGCUCCUCACCAACCCUGUGGAAAUCCUGCUGAGGCAGGAUGACAGCUAACGUAAGAGCGGUGUAGCACAGCAAGUGCCACAGGAGCACGGUGCCGCAUAGUUCAUAUGGGCAUAAACUUUCUGUCCUGAGACAGCACGUGAAACAAGGUGGUGCAUUUCCUCUCCUUGUGCCACCAUCACUUGUCAUAACAUUAUACCUUGGAGAUAGCUGUGGAUGAGCAGCAAACAUAGGAAUAAUUGUCAA
Dromaius novaehollandiae (emu) is the source of this 1807-nucleotide long non-coding RNA. RefSeq lists it as uncharacterized. Lineage: Eukaryota; Metazoa; Chordata; Aves; Casuariiformes; Dromaiidae. The record is from RefSeq and is a predicted model, not a curated record. The transcript has 3 exons.